GACGAACCGAGCGAACGUUAUUCGGAAUCACUGGGCUUAAAGGGCGCGUAGGCGGGCGAUCAAGUCAGGGGUGAAAGCCCCCAGCUCAACUGGGGAAGUGCCUUUGAUACUGGUCGUCUCGAGCGAGGUAGGGGCGUGCGGAACUUCCGGUGGAGCGGUGAAAUGCGUAGAGAUCGGAAGGAACACCGGUGGCGAAAGCGGCGCGCUGGACCUCUUCUGACGCUGAGGCGCGAAAGCCAGGGGAGCGAACGGG
RNAcentral lists this ribosomal RNA (253 nucleotides) under uncultured bacterium. RNAcentral's name for it is "partial 16S ribosomal RNA". It matches the Rfam family "Bacterial small subunit ribosomal RNA", at positions 524 to 776 of the family's 1533-position model. The record is from RNAcentral.